RNAcentral lists this ribosomal RNA (761 nucleotides) under uncultured Prevotella sp. Its description in RNAcentral is "bacterial SSU rRNA". It matches the Rfam family "Bacterial small subunit ribosomal RNA", at positions 28 to 776 of the family's 1533-position model. Lineage: Bacteria; Pseudomonadati; Bacteroidota; Bacteroidia; Bacteroidales; Prevotellaceae. The record is from RNAcentral.
GAUGAACGCUGGCUACAGGCUUAACACAUGCAAGUCGAGGGGAAACGACGGGGAAGCUUGCUUCCCCGGGCGUCGACCGGCGCACGGGUGAGUAACGCGUAUCCAACCUGCCUCUGACUGAGGGAUAACCCGUCGAAAGUCGGCCUAAUACCUCAUGGUAUCGUCUGCGGGCAUCCAACGACGAUUAAAGAUUUCAUCGGUCAGGGAUGGGGAUGCGUCUGAUUAGCUUGUUGGCGGGGUAACGGCCCACCAAGGCUACGAUCAGUAGGGGUUCUGAGAGGAAGGUCCCCCACAUUGGAACUGAGACACGGUCCAAACUCCUACGGGAGGCAGCAGUGAGGAAUAUUGGUCAAUGGGCGAGAGCCUGAACCAGCCAAGUAGCGUGCAGGAAGACGGCCCUAUGGGUUGUAAACUGCUUUUAUGCGGGGAUAAAGUGAGGGACGUGUCCCUCAUUGCAGGUACCGCAUGAAUAAGGACCGGCUAAUUCCGUGCCAGCAGCCGCGGUAAUACGGAAGGUCCUGGCGUUACCCGGAUUUAUUGGGUUUAAAGGGAGCGUAGGCCGUGGAUUAAGCGUGUUGUGAAAUGCAGGUGCUCAACGUCUGCACUGCAGCGCGAACUGGUCCACUUGAGUGUGCGCAACGCAGGCGGAAUUCGUCGUGUAGCGGUGAAAUGCUUAGAUAUGACGAAGAACUCCGAUUGCGAAGGCAGCUUGCGGGAGCACAACUGACGCUGAAGCUCGAAAGUGCGGGGUAUCGAACAAG